CGGUAAUACGAAGGGGGCUAGCGUUGCUCGGAAUUACUGGGCGUAAAGGGAGCGUAGGCGGACAUUUAAGUCAGGGGUGAAAUCCCGGGGCUCAACCUCGGAAUUGCCUUUGAUACUGGGUGUCUUGAGUAUGAGAGAGGUGUGUGGAACUCCGAGUGUAGAGGUGAAAUUCGUAGAUAUUCGGAAGAACACCAGUGGCGAAGGCGACACACUGGCUCAUUACUGACGCUGAGGCUCGAAAGCGUGGGGAGCAAACAGAAUUAGAUACCCUGGUAGUCCACGCCGUAAACGAUGAUUGCUAGUUGUCGGGAUGCAUGCAUUUCGGUGACGCAGCUAACGCAUUAAGCAAUCCGCCUGGGGAGUACGGUCGCAAGAUUAAAACUCAAAGGAAUUGACGGGGGCCCGCACAAGCGGUGGGGCAUGUGGUUUAAUUCGAAGCAACGCGCAGAACCUUACCACCUUUUGACAUGCCUGGACCGCCAGAGAGAUCUGGCUUUCCCUUCGGGGACUAGGACACAGGUGCUGCAUGGCUGUCGUCAGCUCGUGUUGUGAAAUGCUGGGUUAAGUCCCGCAACGAGCGCAACCCUUAUCCUUUGUUGCCAGCGGUUCGGCCGGG
RNAcentral lists this ribosomal RNA (616 nucleotides) under uncultured bacterium. RNAcentral's name for it is "bacterial SSU rRNA". It matches the Rfam family "Bacterial small subunit ribosomal RNA", at positions 518 to 1135 of the family's 1533-position model. The record is from RNAcentral.